This is a long non-coding RNA of Mustela erminea (ermine), 1181 nucleotides long. RefSeq lists it as uncharacterized. The transcript is spliced from 3 exons. The record is from RefSeq and is a predicted model, not a curated record. Lineage: Eukaryota; Metazoa; Chordata; Mammalia; Carnivora; Mustelidae.
GUUGGAAAAUAGACUGGAGAAGAAUUGGAAGUUCAUGCUUAUCUCCCUCUCACAGCCUUCUGAGACAAGGUCAAAAACAAAAAGUGGACUCAGCAGAUCUGGAGGGAAGCUAAAGACAGGGGUCAGGAUUGUGUUGACUGGAUUAAACUAUCAUGAUCCACUCCUAGAGAUGGGCACAGAGCAGCUCUCAACAAAAUUGGAAUUUCUUUAAUAAUAAAGAAGGGCUAAACAGAUAUUUAGAUUAAUCUGCUCCUCCUGCAGGCCCUAGUAUCCAUGGUGAAAAAAGGAAAAUUGAAAAAUCAAAUACCAUUCUGUCUACCUGACGAAGAGCCUGCAGACGAACUUACCCUGAAUCUAGGACUGAGCUCUUGUUAACACCAAGACCAGAUUUCUGAUGAUAUUUGUGAGAUGUCGCCCAAAUGUCUAAAGCAGUUCUCUGUGUGUUAAUAACAGACUCCAUCUUUUAAAAAACUGUGCCAUAAUUUCUCUGGAACUUUGCUCAUGAAAAGACCAGUUGCUCUUGCUCCAGAAUGAAUGAUUAUCCUUCCAUACAACAGAUGCCUUCCUCUAACUCUUCUCCCAGUGCAGGCAGGAAUCCUGCUUCCCACUCAGGAAUUUGCACUGAUUGGGCUGUUGCUACAGUAUAAUAUCUCUGAGUGGACCUCCUCCUCCCCCAGAUCCUAUAUUUUCCCUGAUCUGCUGGACUAUUUCAGGUAUUCAGCACAAUGAAUGGGAAGAAUAUCCCAGACCUGCAAACCCUCAGCCAGCUACCCACUCUGGGUUUUGGAGGAAAUAUGCAAGGGGGAGACUGGACAAAUGAACACUUUCUCUGUAGUUCAAAUGAACCUGGAGACCCAUGUGGUCUCAGAACACUGUUGUGUUUCAGAAACAAAUUCAAAACCAAGGGUAAAUAAAAGGGAGUUAUAGUCUUCAUGCUAAAAUGAUUAAAUGGGAGCCACAGAAAUGCUUACCUGAACUUGCCUUCCUCUCCCAUUCUUUCCCCUUAUUCAAGAAGCUGCUCCCAAGACUCCCCUCCAGCCCACGCUUCUUUUGUCCCUCCCUCCAUUCCUGCAUCUCCUCUCACCAGAUCUCAUGAAGUAGGUCUACUUAGCCUUGCUCCCAAGAAGAAAGAAGCCCCCUUUUAAGAAAUGGAGAGGAGGCUUUGAAAACUGAGUUGACAA